This is a long non-coding RNA of Sinocyclocheilus anshuiensis, 237 nucleotides long. RefSeq lists it as uncharacterized. NCBI's taxonomy places the organism in Eukaryota, Metazoa, Chordata, Actinopteri, Cypriniformes, Cyprinidae. The transcript has 3 exons. The record is from RefSeq and is a predicted model, not a curated record.
UACUUACUCUUUUAUCUGUUCUUUUCUUAGCAGGCUGUGUCAAGUUCUGGUUCAUCGGAUACGGAUCUCAGACACAGAAAUUGUAUUCCUGUAGACGAGCGGCAGUCGGCGGCAGAGCUGGACGCUAUUCUACAGCAUCAUCACAACCUGCAGGAGAAACUAGCUGAUGACAUGCUGAAUCUCGCUCGCAACCUGAAGAACAACACGCUCGCGGCCCAGAACAUCAUCAAGCAGGAC